RNAcentral lists this transfer RNA (68 nucleotides) under Faecalibacterium prausnitzii. It matches the Rfam family "tRNA", at positions 5 to 66 of the family's 71-position model. Rfam says of the family: Transfer RNA (tRNA) molecules are approximately 80 nucleotides in length. Their secondary structure includes four short double-helical elements and three loops (D, anti-codon, and T loops). The record is from RNAcentral. Lineage: Bacteria; Bacillati; Bacillota; Clostridia; Eubacteriales; Oscillospiraceae. RNAcentral also lists the same sequence under 9 other names.
UUGGUAGCUCAGCUGGAUAGAGUGACUGACUACGAAUCAGUAGGCCGGGGGUUCGAGUCCCUUCCAUC